UCCGUCCCUGUGUCACUUCAUCUCUGCCUGUGCUUGCAAGAUGUUCCGUGUGAGAGGGUUGAGGGCAGGCCGAUGUCCCCGCUGGCUGUUGGGUGUGAUGGCAGAGGCCAGGACUCGUGUGGGCAGGUGUUGGAGGGAGCCGUGGCGGAGCGGUGGAGGUGGUGUCAUGUAUGGAAGGUGGAGGUUCUGGUUUGGCCAUCCAUGCGAGGUCGUUGUGCUUUGGAGCUUCCCUGUGCAGUUUUCCAGUGUGUCCUUGGGUGGAUGUCUUUCUGCUGC
Myotis brandtii (Brandt's bat) is the source of this 276-nucleotide long non-coding RNA. RefSeq lists it as uncharacterized. The record is from RefSeq and is a predicted model, not a curated record. Lineage: Eukaryota; Metazoa; Chordata; Mammalia; Chiroptera; Vespertilionidae. The transcript has 3 exons.